Molecule: ribosomal RNA, 303 nt
Filed under: uncultured Actinomycetales bacterium
Lineage: Bacteria; Bacillati; Actinomycetota; Actinomycetes; Actinomycetales
Description: bacterial SSU rRNA
Rfam family: Bacterial small subunit ribosomal RNA
Source: RNAcentral
GCUUACCAUGCAGUCGAGCGGAAGGCCCUUCGGGGUACUCGAGCGGCGAACGGGUGAGUAACACGUGAGCAACCUGCCCUCAGCUCUGGGAUAGCUCCGGGAAACCGGAAUUAAUACCGGAUAUGACCACGAUCGACAUCGGCCGUGGUGGAAAGGAUUCCGGCUGAGGAUGGGCUCGCGGCCUAUCAGCUAGUUGGCGGGGUAACGGCCCACCAAGGCUACGACGGGUAGCCGGCCUGAGAGGGCGACCGGCCACACUGGGACUGAGACACGGCCCAGACUCCUACGGGAGGCAGCAGUGGG